GAAUGCUGACAUAAGUAACGAUAAAGCGGGUGAAAAGCCCGCUCGCCGGAAGACCAAGGGUUCCUGUCCAACGUUAAUCGGGGCAGGGUGAGUCGACCCCUAAGGCGAGGCCGAAAGGCGUAGUCGAUGGGAAACGGGUUAAUAUUCCCGUACUUGGUGUUACUGCGAAGGGGGGACGGAGAAGGCUAUGUUGGCCGGGCGACGGUUGUCCCGGUUUAAGCGUGUAGGUGUGUGUUCCAGGUAAAUCCGGUUCACUUUAACACUGAGGCGUGAUGACGAGGCACUACGGUGCUGAAGCAACAAAUGCCCUGCUUCCAGGAAAAGCCUCUAAGCAUCAGGUAACAUCAAAUCGUACCCCAAACCGACACAGGUGGUCAGGUAGAGAAUACCAAGGCGCUUGAGAGAACUCGGGUGAAGGAACUAGGCAAAAUGGUGCCGUAACUUCGGGAGAAGGCACGCUGACACGUAGGUGAAGUGAUUUACUCACGGAGCUGAAGUCAGUCGAAGAUACCAGCUGGCUGCAACUGUUUAUUAAAAACACAGCACUGUGCAAACACGAAAGUGGACGUAUACGGUGUGACGCCUGCCCGGUGCCGGAAGGUUAAUUGAUGGGGUCAGCGCAAGCGAAGCUCCUGAUCGAAGCCCCGGUAAACGGCGGCCGUAACUAUAACGGUCCUAAGGUAGCGAAAUUCCUUGUCGGGUAAGUUCCGACCUGCACGAAUGGCGUAAUGAUGGCCAGGCUGUCUCCACCCGAGACUCAGUGAAAUUGAACUCGCUGUGAAGAUGCAGUGUACCCGCGGCAAGACGGAAAGACCCCGUGAACCUUUACUAUAGCUUGACACUGAACAUUGAGCCUUGAUGUGUAGGAUAGGUGGGAGGCUUUGAAGUGUGGACGCCAGUCUGCAUGGAGCCGACCUUGAAAUACCACCCUUUAAUGUUUGAUGUUCUAACGUGGACCCGUGAUCCGGGUUGCGGACAGUGUCUGGUGGGUAGUUUGACUGGGGCGGUCUCCUCCUAAAGAGUAACGGAGGAGCACGAAGGUUGGCUAAUCCUGGUCGGACAUCAGGAGGUUAGUGCAAUGGCAUAAGCCAGCUUGACUGCGAGCGUGACGGCGCGAGCAGGUGCGAAAGCAGGUCAUAGUGAUCCGGUGGUUCUGAAUGGAAGGGCCAUCGCUCAACGGAUAAAAGGUACUCCGGGGAUAACAGGCUGAUACCGCCCAAGAGUUCAUAUCGACGGCGGUGUUUGGCACCUCGAUGUCGGCUCAUCACAUCCUGGGGCUGAAGUAGGUCCCAAGGGUAUGGCUGUUCGCCAUUUAAAGUGGUACGCGAGCUGGGUUUAGAACGUCGUGAGACAGUUCGGUCCCUAUCUGCCGUGGGCGCUGGAGAACUGAGGGGGGCUGCUCCUAGUACGAGAGGACCGGAGUGGACGCAUCACUGGUGUUCGGGUUGUCAUGCCAAUGGCACUGCCCGGUAGCUAAAUGCGGAAGAGAUAAGUGCUGAAAGCAUCUAAGCACGAAACUUGCCCCGAGAUGAGUUCUCCCUGAGACUUAGAGUCUCCUGAAGGAACGUUGAAGACGACGACGUUGAUAGGCCG
This 1593-nucleotide ribosomal RNA is filed under the name Salmonella enterica. RNAcentral's name for it is "partial 23S ribosomal RNA". It matches the Rfam family "Bacterial large subunit ribosomal RNA", at positions 1292 to 2863 of the family's 2925-position model. Lineage: Bacteria; Pseudomonadati; Pseudomonadota; Gammaproteobacteria; Enterobacterales; Enterobacteriaceae. The record is from RNAcentral.